This 386-nucleotide ribosomal RNA is filed under the name uncultured fungus. RNAcentral describes it as "partial small subunit ribosomal RNA". It matches the Rfam family "Eukaryotic small subunit ribosomal RNA", at positions 30 to 432 of the family's 1831-position model. The record is from RNAcentral. Lineage: Eukaryota; Fungi.
GCUUGUCUCAAAGAUUAAGCCAUGCAUGUCUAAGUACAAGCCUCAGUAAGGUGAAACCGCGAAUGGCUCAUUAAAUCAGUGAUAAUUUGGUUGAUGGAGAGAUAUCGUGGAUAACCGUGGUAAUUCUAUGGCUAAUACAUGCAGAGCAGACGCAAGUCUGGCAUUUAUUAGAUAAAGCCUUGGCGGCGGGGUAGCCCGUCGCUGCGGUGAGAGAUGAUAACUGGGCGGAUCGCGGUUUGGCGCGACGCAUCAAGGAAAUUUCUGCCCUAUCAACUGUGGACGGUAGGAUCGAGGCCUACCGUGGUGGUGACGGGUACGGGAAAUCGGGGUUUGAUUCCGGAGAGGGAGCCUGAGAGAUGGCUACCACUUCCAAGGAAGGCAGCAGG